UGCUCGUACCCAUAACCGCAUCAGGUCUCCAAGGUUAGCAGCCUCUGGUCUAUAGGGCAAAGUAGGUACGGGAAGUCGGCAAAAUAGAUCCGUAACCUUGGGAAAAGGAUUGGCUCUGAGGAUUGGGUGCAAGGGUCCUUGCUUCGAUGUUCGAGCUGAGCAGAAGCUACGUCCUGCCUUCGGUGGGGAGUGGAUUCGCGCACGGUAAGCAUAGCCGGGCAAGGAAUGUUCUUCGAGAGUGUCCUUGCACGAUGAACGGUCGACUCAGAACUGGAGCGGACAAGGGGGUCCGGCU
This 295-nucleotide ribosomal RNA is filed under the name Kryptoperidinium foliaceum. RNAcentral's name for it is "partial Eukaryotic large subunit ribosomal RNA". It matches the Rfam family "Eukaryotic large subunit ribosomal RNA", at positions 1839 to 2139 of the family's 3401-position model. Lineage: Eukaryota; Dinophyceae; Peridiniales; Kryptoperidiniaceae. The record is from RNAcentral.